Molecule: ribosomal RNA, 285 nt
Filed under: uncultured bacterium
Lineage: Bacteria
Description: partial 16S ribosomal RNA
Rfam family: Bacterial small subunit ribosomal RNA
Source: RNAcentral
UUCCUACGGGGCGCAGCAGUGGGGAAUAUUGGACAAUGGGGGAAACCCUGAUCCAGCGACGCCGCGUGAGUGAAGAAGUAUUUCGGUACGUAAAGCUCUAUCAGCAGGAAAGAAAAUGACGGUACCUGACUAAGAAGCACCGGCUAAAUACGUGCCAGCAGCCGCGGUAAUACGUAUGGUGCAAGCGUUAUCCGGAUUUACUGGGUGUAAAGGGAGCGCAGGCGGUGCGGCAAGUCUGAUGUGAAAGCCCGUGGCUCAACCCCGGUACUGCAUUGGAAACUACCG